Molecule: ribosomal RNA, 2236 nt
Filed under: Salmonella enterica subsp. enterica serovar Brunei
Lineage: Bacteria; Pseudomonadati; Pseudomonadota; Gammaproteobacteria; Enterobacterales; Enterobacteriaceae
Description: partial 23S ribosomal RNA
Rfam family: Bacterial large subunit ribosomal RNA
Source: RNAcentral
CUUUUGGGUGUGACUGCGUACCUUUUGUAUAAUGGGUCAGCGACUUAUAUUCUGUAGCAAGGUUAACCGAAUAGGGGAGCCGGAGGGAAACCGAGUCUUAAUUGGGCGUUAAGUUGCAGGGUAUAGACCCGAAACCCGGUGAUCUAGCCAUGGGCAGGUUGAAGGUUGGGUAACACUAACUGGAGGACCGAACCGACUAAUGUUGAAAAAUUAGCGGAUGACCUGUGGCUGGGGGUGAAAGGCCAAUCAAACCGGGAGAUAGCUGGUUCUCCCCGAAAGCUAUUUAGGUAGCGCCUCGUGAAUUCAUCUCCGGGGGUAGAGCACUGUUUCGGCUAGGGGGCCAUCCCGGCUUACCAACCCGAUGCAAACUGCGAAUACCGGAGAAUGUUAUCACGGGAGACACACGGCGGGUGCUAACGUCCGUCGUGAAGAGGGAAACAACCCAGACCGCCAGCUAAGGUCCCAAAGUCAUGGUUAAGUGGGAAACGAUGUGGGAAGGCCCAGACAGCCAGGAUGUUGGCUUAGAAGCAGCCAUCAUUUAAAGAAAGCGUAAUAGCUCACUGGUCGAGUCGGCCUGCGCGGAAGAUGUAACGGGGCUAAACCAUGCACCGAAGCUGCGGCAGCGACGCUGAUGCGUUGUUGGGUAGGGGAGCGUUCUGUAAGCCUGCGAAGGUGGCCUGUGAGGGUUGCUGGAGGUAUCAGAAGUGCGAAUGCUGACAUAAGUAACGAUAAAGCGGGUGAAAAGCCCGCUCGCCGGAAGACCAAGGGUUCCUGUCCAACGUUAAUCGGGGCAGGGUGAGUCGACCCCUAAGGCGAGGCCGAAAGGCGUAGUCGAUGGGAAACGGGUUAAUAUUCCCGUACUUGGUGUUACUGCGAAGGGGGGACGGAGAAGGCUAUGUUGGCCGGGCGACGGUUGUCCCGGUUUAAGCGUGUAGGUGUGUGUUCCAGGUAAAUCCGGUUCACUUUAACACUGAGGCGUGACGACGAGGCACUACGGUGCUGAAGCAACAAAUGCCCUGCUUCCAGGAAAAGCCUCUAAGCAUCAGGUAACAUCAAAUCGUACCCCAAACCGACACAGGUGGUCAGGUAGAGAAUACCAAGGCGCUUGAGAGAACUCGGGUGAAGGAACUAGGCAAAAUGGUGCCGUAACUUCGGGAGAAGGCACGCUGACACGUAGGUGAAGUGAUUUACUCACGGAGCUGAAGUCAGUCGAAGAUACCAGCUGGCUGCAACUGUUUAUUAAAAACACAGCACUGUGCAAACACGAAAGUGGACGUAUACGGUGUGACGCCUGCCCGGUGCCGGAAGGUUAAUUGAUGGGGUCAGCGCAAGCGAAGCUCCUGAUCGAAGCCCCGGUAAACGGCGGCCGUAACUAUAACGGUCCUAAGGUAGCGAAAUUCCUUGUCGGGUAAGUUCCGACCUGCACGAAUGGCGUAAUGAUGGCCAGGCUGUCUCCACCCGAGACUCAGUGAAAUUGAACUCGCUGUGAAGAUGCAGUGUACCCGCGGCAAGACGGAAAGACCCCGUGAACCUUUACUAUAGCUUGACACUGAACAUUGAGCCUUGAUGUGUAGGAUAGGUGGGAGGCUUUGAAGCGUGGACGCCAGUCUGCGUGGAGCCGACCUUGAAAUACCACCCUUUAAUGUUUGAUGUUCUAACGUGGACCCGUUACCCGGGUUGCGGACAGUGUCUGGUGGGUAGUUUGACUGGGGCGGUCUCCUCCUAAAGAGUAACGGAGGAGCACGAAGGUUGGCUAAUCCUGGUCGGACAUCAGGAGGUUAGUGCAAUGGCAUAAGCCAGCUUGACUGCGAGCGUGACGGCGCGAGCAGGUGCGAAAGCAGGUCAUAGUGAUCCGGUGGUUCUGAAUGGAAGGGCCAUCGCUCAACGGAUAAAAGGUACUCCGGGGAUAACAGGCUGAUACCGCCCAAGAGUUCAUAUCGACGGCGGUGUUUGGCACCUCGAUGUCGGCUCAUCACAUCCUGGGGCUGAAGUAGGUCCCAAGGGUAUGGCUGUUCGCCAUUUAAAGUGGUACGCGAGCUGGGUUUAGAACGUCGUGAGACAGUUCGGUCCCUAUCUGCCGUGGGCGCUGGAGAACUGAGGGGGGCUGCUCCUAGUACGAGAGGACCGGAGUGGACGCAUCACUGGUGUUCGGGUUGUCAUGCCAAUGGCACUGCCCGGUAGCUAAAUGCGGAAGAGAUAAGUGCUGAAAGCAUCUAAGCACGAAACUUGCCCCGAG